GAAAAAGGCUAAGGGCAAGUGUUAUCACUGCAAGCAGCCCGGGCAUCAUAAGAAGCAGUGUCCAACUUAUCUGGCCAAGCUGAAAAAUAAACCAGGGGUUUCAGGUAACGCGACAGCUAAGUAAAGGAGAAAUCAAUGUUUAUCAAGCAGACGGUUCAGCUGCCCCAGCUUUAGCAUUAGGAAAUAUUAGUAUUUCGUUUGGUAGUGGUAGAGUUUUAGCUUUA
Nicotiana tabacum (common tobacco) is the source of this 224-nucleotide non-coding RNA. Lineage: Eukaryota; Viridiplantae; Streptophyta; Magnoliopsida; Solanales; Solanaceae. The record is from RefSeq and is a predicted model, not a curated record.